This 454-nucleotide ribosomal RNA is filed under the name uncultured bacterium. RNAcentral describes it as "bacterial SSU rRNA". It matches the Rfam family "Bacterial small subunit ribosomal RNA", at positions 355 to 801 of the family's 1533-position model. The record is from RNAcentral.
UGGGGAAUAUUGGACAAUGGGCGCAAGCCUGAUCCAGCCAUGCCGCGUGUGUGAAGAAGGUCUUCGGAUUGUAAAGCACUUUAAGUUGGGAGGAAGGUCAGUAGCUUAAUACGUUGCUGAUUUGACGUUACCGACAGAAUAAGCACCGGCUAACUCUGUGCCAGCAGCCGCGGUAAUACAGAGGGUGCAAGCGUUAAUCGGAAUUACUGGGCGUAAAGCGCGCGUAGGUGGUUUGUUAAGUUGGAUGUGAAAUCCCCGGGCUCAACCUGGGAACUGCAUUCAAAACUGACUGACUAGAGUAUGGUAGAGGGUGGUGGAAUUUCCUGUGUAGCGGUGAAAUGCGUAGAUAUAGGAAGGAACACCAGUGGCGAAGGCGACCACCUGGACUGAUACUGACACUGAGGUGCGAAAGCGUGGGGAACAAACAGGAUUAGAUACCCCCGUAGUCCCUGAG